UAAAAAGCGAAGAAAAGGAUUAGUACAUGCAGGAAGCCUUCAGAGAGAAGAUCCGUGAGCUGAAAGAUCUUUAGGGGAAAUGUAUGGAACCUGCCUUGGAGCUCUGUAUGAAAAUACAGCGUAGCACCGGCGAUAACGGUAAGAAGAGAGAAUGCAGUGACAUUAAUCAGGGUGGUACCGCCGGUUUCCGGUCCCUUAG
Molecule: non-coding RNA, 199 nt
Filed under: Bacillota bacterium
Lineage: Bacteria; Bacillati; Bacillota
Description: Firmicutes bacterium T-box sequence
Rfam family: T-box leader
About the family: Uncharged tRNA acts as the effector for transcription antitermination of genes in the T-box leader family. T-boxes are found upstream of many aminoacyl-tRNA synthetase genes and some amino acid biosynthetic genes usually in Gram-positive bacteria.
Source: RNAcentral